GAAACAUGCAAGGUGCAUGUGUGUGCUGCCCGAAAUCCCGAAAGGAGAAACGGAGGGCGGGGCCGCGGCCUGCUCAUCCCCCACAGGGCACUUCCCUCUACCGGCGGCCGUGAAAGGAGGGGAGAAGGCAUACCUUAGCACCACCACUCAGGGAGAACCCAGUCGGACCAGACACAUCGCCAAGUAAAUACUGCAGCGGGACUGGCAGGUCUCCUUUAAUGCCAAUACAGCGGCUGCAGGUCGGGGCCGCCCGGUCUCUAAUCGAGUCCACAGUGCACAGGCGGAGACGUGACCACGCCUGUCGGAGGACACUGCCAGGGUGCCGAGAUCGGAAAAGGGACGCGCCUUCACUUGAUCGUCUGCUCCAGAAGAAACAUCACCACACGCGCGACAAGGUCGCCAGGUGCCAUGAGGUAUGUACGCUGUAUAGGCAGUCUGCUCUCUCCUCAGGCGGUAACUGCUAGUCGGAGUCCUCCCCAUGGCCGAUCUGCCUUCUCAAUGCCACAUGCUCUACGGACCUGAUGCCAAGCUAAACAGGUCAUUUACGAGGUGGCCCAGCCAUUCGGAACAGGGUGAGGUGAGGUGGACGGGGUCAGCACUGAAUGCCAGAGUACAUGCCAACCCCGGCGUGGCAUUGAGGAAACUCCAACGUGAACGCACGUCUCUGCAGAGCCUGGUGUGUCACCGACUUACCUGCACGACACUGGACGCUGGGCAGGACCCUGUGAGUGCCCACUGCUCGUGGCCUCCUCUCCUCUCUGUGUGGGAAGCCUUCCUUUCCAUCACCUCCUCUUUUCUGUUAAGUAAAGGUUCAAAAACUUCAUUGACCCAAAUCACCACGCCCAACGACUUUGGAAACAGCGAGUAAGCAAAACCGGAGUCUUGGUUCGGCUCCCACAAACACAUCAUGCUGUCUGAGGGCUCAUUUAAUUCUGGGAGUGAAAUCGCACCCCCACGGAUUCCUGUUACUGGAAAACGCAUUCAAAGACACACACACAUAGCUUUAAACCAACGCGGUGGUUUUUAUUGAUGGGCGACAACUGUGAACUCCUAGGUACCACUACACCGUGUACAAUGAGGGAUGCGGCGUCACAGGAGAGCGGACAGAGCAGUAGAGAAAUACCAGUCUUCGUCAGUUUGCCCAUUUCUCACUAUGUGCACAGAGGCUGAGUGCAGUUGGACAUCUCGGAAUGGCAACAGCUACAAUCGCCCAUCCUACGUAGGCUGACGUCGUAACGCGGACAGGCCUGCAGUGCGUGCAGAAGCAGUUUCUCAUCGCACAAUUAUUAAAAUGUCUUUCUCUUGUUAGGAACCAGCAACUUAUUUUUUGUUUUCAUUUCUUCCUUGAAGUAAGAACUAUUUCUUCUCUGAUAA
Long non-coding RNA from Tupaia belangeri chinensis (Chinese tree shrew), 1374 nucleotides. RefSeq lists it as uncharacterized. The transcript has 2 exons. The record is from RefSeq and is a predicted model, not a curated record. NCBI's taxonomy places the organism in Eukaryota, Metazoa, Chordata, Mammalia, Scandentia, Tupaiidae.